RNAcentral lists this ribosomal RNA (253 nucleotides) under uncultured bacterium. RNAcentral describes it as "partial 16S ribosomal RNA". It matches the Rfam family "Bacterial small subunit ribosomal RNA", at positions 524 to 776 of the family's 1533-position model. The record is from RNAcentral.
UACAGAGGUCUCAAGCGUUGUUCGGAUUCAUUGGGCGUAAAGGGUGCGUAGGUGGCGAGGUUAGUCAGGUGUGAAAUCUCGGGGCUCAACCCCGAAACUGCACUUGAUACUGCCUUGCUAGAGUACUGGAGAGGAGAUUGGAAUUUACGGUGUAGCAGUGAAAUGCGUAGAUAUCGUAAGGAAGACCAGUGGCGAAGGCGGCUCGCUGGACCGGUUCUGACGCUGAGGCGCGAAAGCGUGGGGAGCAAACGGG